Molecule: long non-coding RNA, 611 nt
Organism: Ornithorhynchus anatinus (platypus)
Lineage: Eukaryota; Metazoa; Chordata; Mammalia; Monotremata; Ornithorhynchidae
Exons: 3
Source: RefSeq, a predicted model, not a curated record
CGACAACAAGCGUUGUCCCCCGCUUGUCCUUCAUUCACACUUUGCCGCCCCGCCCCAGGUGACCAGAACAGAUUUCCGGGAGCGGCCGGAUCACACCGACGAGGGAUCCCUUCCCACUUGCUGGCAGGCUGGCAGCAGUGAAAAGGCCUAAGGCAGACCAGCGGGGUCACACUCGGCUCAGUCCAGCCCAGCCACUGCACUGCCAGUUCCCCUCCUGAAGAUCGUGGGUUCUAAUUCCGGCUCCGCAACGUGUCUGCUGUGUGACCCUGGGCCACGUUGCUUACGUAGUGGUGAAAAUACCAAAGGAGGUUCUCCUGACAAUGCCCACUGCCUGCCUGUCUGGAUCGAACAUAACGCGGUGUCAGAAUAACCGGCCGUGCACUUGUGCGGAGUGCUGAACAAGGGGUAAGUUCUACCCAGUCGUGUGUUCCUUAGUGUGCUGCCCCGUGGGAACACAACCCCAGUGUUAUAAGAGGACCAGGUGUUCUAGUACUCUUGAAUGUAACAACCGGGGGAUUUGCAUUUGUCAGCCUUAUUUUAUUGGCAUUUAAUAAUUGUGGUUUUUAAGUGCUUAUUAUGUGCCAAGCACUGUACUCAGCACUGGGGUAGAU